AAUGCAAGUCGAACGGUAAGGCGAGUCACUCUUCGGAGUGACUCGUACACGAGUGGCGCACGGGUGAGUAACGCGUGGGUAAUCUGCCUUCGGGUUUGGGACAACUCCGGGAAACUGGAGCUAAUACCGAAUAAGACCACGAGGUCUUUGGACCUUGCGGAAAAAGGUGGCCUCUUCUUGAAAGCUAUCGCCGGUUGAUGAGCCCGCGUCCCAUUAGCUUGUUGGUGAGGUAAAGGCUCACCAAGGCAUCGAUGGGUAGCUGGUCUGAGAGGAUGAUCAGCCACACUGGAACUGAGACACGGUCCAGACUCCUACGGGAGGCAGCAGUCGGGAAUCUUGCACAAUGGGCGAAAGCCUGAUGCAGCAACGCCGCGUGAGGGAUGAAGGCCCUCGGGUCGUAAACCUCUGUCGGAAGGGAAGAACGUAUUUCGGGCCAAUACCCCGGGAUACUGACGGUACCUUCAAAGGAAGCGCCGGCUAACUCCGUGCCAGCAGCCGCGGUAAUACGGAGGGCGCGAGCGUUAUUCGGAAUUAUUGGGCGUAAAGCGCGUGUAGGCGGCUGGGAAAGUCGGGUGUGAAAGCCCGGGGCUCAACCCCGGAAUUGCAUUCGAAACUACCCAGCUAGAGUCUCGGAGAGGA
RNAcentral lists this ribosomal RNA (639 nucleotides) under uncultured bacterium. Its description in RNAcentral is "bacterial SSU rRNA". It matches the Rfam family "Bacterial small subunit ribosomal RNA", at positions 54 to 658 of the family's 1533-position model. The record is from RNAcentral.